Molecule: ribosomal RNA, 253 nt
Filed under: uncultured bacterium
Lineage: Bacteria
Description: partial 16S ribosomal RNA
Rfam family: Bacterial small subunit ribosomal RNA
Source: RNAcentral
UACGACGGGGGCUAGCGUUGUUCGGAAUCACUGGGCGUAAAGCGCACGUAGGCGGAUGUGUCAGUCAGGGGUGAAAUCCCGGGGCUCAACCUCGGAACUGCCUCUGAUACAGCACGUCUUGAGUCCGGAAGAGGUGGGUGGAAUUCCUAGUGUAGAGGUGAAAUUCGUAGAUAUUAGGAAGAACACCGGUGGCGAAGGCGACCCACUGGUCCGGUACUGACGCUGAGGUGCGAAAGCGUGGGGAGCAAACAGG